CUGACACCAGAGGACUUCAUAUAACAUUGCAGCAUUAACAUCUUCACUGGCAGGUUCAUGGACUUUCCCCCUCCUGAAUGAGUUGGGCAGGUGAAAUAUCCACCGUCUUUCUUGACCUGAAUCAAGCUCAGAGUGACAGUGUUUAA
This 146-nucleotide long non-coding RNA is filed under the name Piliocolobus tephrosceles (Ugandan red Colobus). RNAcentral's name for it is "lncRNA (ENSPTEG00000006669.1)". The record is from RNAcentral. Lineage: Eukaryota; Metazoa; Chordata; Mammalia; Primates; Cercopithecidae.